This 148-nucleotide non-coding RNA is filed under the name Pan troglodytes (chimpanzee). Lineage: Eukaryota; Metazoa; Chordata; Mammalia; Primates; Hominidae. The record is from Rfam by way of RNAcentral.
GCCGGGUGUGGUGGCGGGCACCUGUAAUCCCUGCCACUCGGGAGGCUGAGGCAGGAGAAUCACUUGAACCUGGGAGGCGGAGGUUGCAGUGAGCUGAGAUCGUGCCACUGCACUCCAGCCUGGGUGACAGAGUGAGAUUCUGUCUCAA